AUUGAACGCUGGCGGCAGGCCUAACACAUGCAAGUCGAACGGUAACAGGAAGAAGCUUGCUUCUUUGCUGACGAGUGGCGGACGGGUGAGUAAUGUCUGGGAAACUGCCUGAUGGAGGGGGAUAACUACUGGAAACGGUAGCUAAUACCGCAUAACGUCGCAAGACCAAAGAGGGGGACCUUCGGGCCUCUUGCCAUCGGAUGUGCCCAGAUGGGAUUAGCUAGUAGGUGGGGUAACGGCUCACCUAGGCGACGAUCCCUAGCUGGUCUGAGAGGAUGACCCGCCCCACGGGAAAGGAGAAAGGGCCCAGACCCACAGGGGAGGCAGGAGGGGGGAAUAUUGCACAAGGGGGGAAAGCCUGAGGCAGCCAGGCCGGGGUUAAGAAGAGGGCCUUCGGGGUGUAAAGUAUUUUCGGGGGGGAGGAAGGGAGUAAAUUUAAAACCUUUGCUCAUUGACGUUACCCGCAGAAAAAGCCCCGGCAAACUCCGU
Molecule: ribosomal RNA, 489 nt
Filed under: uncultured bacterium
Lineage: Bacteria
Description: partial 16S ribosomal RNA
Rfam family: Bacterial small subunit ribosomal RNA
Source: RNAcentral